Molecule: long non-coding RNA, 1006 nt
Organism: Dermochelys coriacea (leatherback sea turtle)
Lineage: Eukaryota; Metazoa; Chordata; Testudines; Dermochelyidae
Exons: 2
Source: RefSeq, a predicted model, not a curated record
GGGGUUGUAGGCAGUCCCUGGGGGAAAGCUAAGGGCAGCAGCCCAGGGUGGGGUUAAUCUGCUGAGGCAGAAAGCCUGAGCCAGGAGACUGAAAAGGGCUGAGGGUGAGGAGAGAAGCUUAGUAGAGGGACAGUCUGGUGCUUUUCUCCACGCAGAGGCUUAGAAGUGAGGAGGAAGCCUGUGGUGGUCUCUAGCUGGGGUGGCUGUUUUGGCUAGAAGAACAGGUGGGGAGCCAUGGAGUGCUGUGAGUGGCAGAGCCCACCGGAGCUGGCAUAGUAGGAAGGGGAAAGGGCAGGGCUGAGCUGUUGCUCUGAGUUGCAUUGUGCCGGGCUCAGGUCCUAUGACUGCCCCUGCACAUCCCGAGCUGUGGAUUGUGGGCUAUUAUCAGCCACUGAAGCCAUGCGAACUACAGGUCCCAGAGUGCAUGUUUUCUCUACUUACCGAAUUAAGCUGCCUUACCCACAGCUUUCCGGAUGAUGGAAGAGAAUCUGCUGAGCGGACCCCAGCUGUGGCUUGGCAGGCAGAGCGAAGGAGGGAAGGGCCCUGGAGUAAAGUACUGAUUGGUGUCUGUCACUGUCGUGAUUGGACAAGGAGGGAGGGUCACCAGAGUCUCCCAGCUUUGCCUAACUGUCUGGUCUGUGAGCCUGAUGUUGCCUAGACCCAUGAUCCCAGAGCUGAUCUUAACUUCUCUGGUCUGAGGGCUGGAUUAUGGGCUGUGAUGAGAGCUCCCUUCCUAGGCAGUGCUGUGCCCAGCUGUACAAUCUCCUAUAUGGUGCCGAGGGCCAGUUCUGGGGAGGGAGGGGGCAUAACGAAGGGAAAGGGAGUAGUGUUCUCUCCUCUUCCUUGCUAAUCUAGCUUUCAACAGAUCCAGGAUUGCCCUGAUUUCUCAGGCCCUGAUCCUCAGCUGGUGGAACUUGGUCGACCUCUGUUGAAAUCAAUGGAGUGAUGUUCAUUUAAACCACCUGAGCAGCUGAUAAUUCCUGAGCUCUCCUUCCUGCUGAGAUCA